RNAcentral lists this transfer RNA (199 nucleotides) under Marmota monax (woodchuck). RNAcentral describes it as "tRNA.Ala". Lineage: Eukaryota; Metazoa; Chordata; Mammalia; Rodentia; Sciuridae. The record is from RNAcentral.
GGCUGAGGCUCAGUGGUAGAGCGCUUGCCUAGCAUGUGCUGGGUUCAAUUCUCAGCACAUCGAAAAAUAAAUAAAUAAAAUAAAGUCAUUACGUCUAACUACAGCUAAAAAUAUUUUUUUAAAAAAAAGGUGGUUUCAGGGCUAGGGGUAAAGCUCAGUUGGUAGAAACACAAGGUCCUGGGUUCAAUCCCCAGCACCA